Molecule: transfer RNA, 54 nt
Filed under: Formosatettix qinlingensis
Lineage: Eukaryota; Metazoa; Arthropoda; Insecta; Orthoptera; Tetrigidae
Description: partial tRNA-Ile
Source: RNAcentral
AGGUGCGGCCCCUAUACAUUUCUGAUUAAAAAUUUGGUAACUUUACCUACAUUA